AUUGAACGCUGGCGGCAUGCUUUACACAUGCGAGUCGAACGGUAACAGGCCGCAAGGUGCUGACGAGUGGCGCACGGGUGAGUAAUGCAUCGGAACGUGCCCAGUCGUGGGGGAUAACUACUCGAAAGAGUAGCUAAUACCGCAUACGAUCUAUGGAUGAAAGCGGGGGACCGUAAGGCCUCGCGCGAUUGGAGCGGCCGAUGUCAGAUUAGGUAGUUGGUGGGGUAAAGGCUCACCAAGCCAACGAUCUGUAGCUGGUCUGAAAGGACGACCAGCCACACUGGGACUGAGACACGGCCCAGACUCCUACGGGAGGCAGCAGUGGGGAAUUUUGGACAAUGGGCGCAAGCCUGAUCCAGCAAUGCCGCGUGCAGGAAGAAGGCCUUCGGGUUGUAAACUGCUUUUGUACGGAACGAAACGGCUCUGGUUAAUACCCGGGGCUAAUGACGGUACCGUAAGAAUAAGCACCGGCUAACUACGUG
Molecule: ribosomal RNA, 482 nt
Filed under: uncultured bacterium
Lineage: Bacteria
Description: partial 16S ribosomal RNA
Rfam family: Bacterial small subunit ribosomal RNA
Source: RNAcentral